AGGAAAGGUUAGUGAGAGGCUGUGGGCCCAAUUAGCCCCACCCCGUUGCACCCGUGUGAGGUGUCAAGCCUAGCGGGAGGAGAUAAACGUGGAAAAGCCCAGCUCAGCAAUGGCUGACUAGGAGAGGGAGUAGGCUUCUUAAGCUAGCCCUGUGAAGGAAGGUCUGGCUGGGGCCAGAGCCUAACCCGAGACUGCCGUGAGCUGCAUGGAAGGAAAGCCCAGAAACUUCAAAGCGUCAGAACCUCACUGGGGCAGAUCAGCAAUGAACCAGCAAGGGUGACUAAUACACACAUCAGCUCUGGAAAGUUAUCAACAUACCGGACAGGGUGCCAGCACAGAGGAAUGAGCUAUUCUUUUGUCCCUAGGAGAAAAUUCACAUGCAUCUCCUAAUUGAAGGAUCAAGGCACUGGCUGUGUAAAUCUUCACAUAAGAGAAACUCUUGGCCUUCCAGAUGGUGCUAUCUGAGGGCCUAAGAAGUUUUACAGACAUCACAACACUCUCUGACAAGGCAAAUCAGUUGGACCCAGAGUCCCAGGACCCCAUGGAAAUGGAGGGGCCCAGCCUGAGUCAAGACAGGAACCUGUGUUCAAGCCCUGUUGCUUUGCAGCACAGACCCAGCCCAACUGGACUCUUGCUCUGGGAGUUUGCCAAAAGUAUCCCACAAUCCAAUGGGCUGACUUUCUUUGUCCUCGGGACAGUCAAAUUUGGUGAACAGUCAGAUUUUCCCAAACAGCACCAUGAACAAAGGGCUAAAGCAGUCACCGUUUGGGAGGGCACCAGGAAGUUUGGGAUAUGGUGGCUGGACUCGGGCCCAUGUAAUACAGCGUAGGCAGUGGAGCCCCAGGUUGGGACCCAGGAUUCAACAAAUUCCGAACCUUGGAUUACAAAUGCAUGGAGACACUCAAGCCCUAGGUUAACAAACCCAGGGUCUGCUAACUCGAGUUCUAUCAAGGCUGGGUUUACACUGCAGUGUAGAUGUA
This is a long non-coding RNA of Mauremys mutica (yellowpond turtle), 980 nucleotides long. RefSeq lists it as uncharacterized. NCBI's taxonomy places the organism in Eukaryota, Metazoa, Chordata, Testudines, Geoemydidae. The transcript is spliced from 5 exons. The record is from RefSeq and is a predicted model, not a curated record.